UUCCAAAGUAGAGUAAAAUUUCAGACUCUUCUCAGUUCUUGACGGUGUUUGGUGAUGAAGAUUGGGAUGCUAAUAGAAAUAAUGGCUUUCUGGAAGAGAGAAGACAAGGGCUCCCAUGGGCUGGGUGAAAGGAUAUGAGAACUCCCUGGGAUCUGGUAGCAAAUGUUCUUGCUCAAGUGGUGGGCAAGGGGGAAGGAAAAUUUGGCAAAUCUAAUGUAUUUGCCUUAUAAUCUCCUUUUUUUUUUUUUUUUUUUUUUGAGACAGGGUUUCCCUCUCAUGCCUCAGGAUGGAAUGCAAUGGCGUGAUCUUGGCUCACUGCAACCUCAGCCUCCCAGGUUCAAGCGAUUCUCCAGCCUCAGCCUCCCGAGUAGCUGGGAUUACAGGCAUGCGCCAUCAUGCCUGAAUAAUUUUUGUAUUUUUAGUAGUGACAGAGUUUCACCAUGUUGGCCAGGCAGGUCUUGAACUCCUGACCUCAAGUGAUCCUCCCACCCUGGCCUCCCAAACUGCUAGGAUUACAGGCAUGAGCCACCACUUCCAGCCUAAGCUCCACCUCUUAAUGGGUUCUGUUUCUUUCUAAAGAGCAAAAAAUACACGAAUACUCAAUAUUAUCAUCAUUUCUUUUUUUCUACAAUUUCUUUUAAAUAAAACCCAUUCUUCAAAAUUAUUGCUACAAAAUAACCAGAGAAACUUCAGCAACGUCAGCUCCACAUAUCUCCAUAAUGUCCCCCGUUCCUUGUCCUCUUCAAUAGACUAAUAUUACUUUGAACAGGAAAAAAAAACAACAUAUGACAAAACCAAAACCUCUUCCUUUCUUCAAACAACUCAAUGUUCAUCAUUCUUCUACUAUGAAUGUUCAUACAUCUUCUACUAUGAAAUAGUACCCUGGGCUCAUGAGAGACUCCACUAUGGUCAAGGAAUGGAAUCCAGAUUAUCUGACUGAAUCUUCCACCCAUAUAGAUGUCACUAAAUAUGUGUGUGAACUCAAAGCAAAUAACAGAGAAACACAAUAUAAAAAUGGCUUUAAUAUACCAACGUACAGAUUAUUCAGUUCCAUUGUAAUUUCCCAAAUAAUUUUAGAUUAUAAUUUUCAGAAAGGAUUUUUAACAUCUGCUAGGCUAAUUCCAUCAUAUUAGUAUAUGAAAUUAUCUUUUCUCCAGUUAUUUAUAAUCUUUCUAAAUAUUUUAAAAUACAGUAUAUUUUCACAACAAAUUUUAUUUUCCCCACAACAAAGAAUUAUCCCACUUCUCUAGUAAUUUCCAUCGUGCAAGAAUGUAGAAUAUAGACUAAUAAGCCUAAAUAGGAUCUAAAAAGGCAAGUUACCUAAAACCCUUCUUGUCUAACCAUAUUAAGGCCCAAGUUUACCUAGAGUCACAAUUGUAGUUAACAAGUGCUAUUUCUCUGGUUGUUUUUUGUUGUUGUUGUUGUUGUUUUUGUUUUUUUUUUUUGAGAUGGAGUCUCACUCUGUCACCCAGGCAGGAGUGCAGUGGCGCGAUCUCAGCUCACUGCAAGCUCCGCCUCCUGGGUUCAUGCCAUUCUCUUGCCUCAGCCUCCCGAGUAGCUGGGAGUACAGGCACCCGCCACCACGCCUGGCUAAUUUUUUGUAUUUUUAGUAGAGACAGGGUUUCACCAUGUUAGCCAGGAUGGUCUCGAUCUCCUGACCUCGUGAUCCGCCAGCCGUGGCCUCCCAAAGUGCUGGGACUACACGUGUGAGCCACCAUGCCCGGCCUUGUUUUUGUUUUUGCCAAGUUUCACCAUGUUGCCCAGGAUAUCCUCAAACUCCUGGGCUCAAGUGAUUCUCCAGCCUCAGCCUCCUGAGUAGCUGGGAAUAGAAGAGCAUGCCACUGUGUCUGGCUUCUCUGUGACUUUCUUAAUGUGCAGAAACCAAAACAGGUAAUAGUAUUUAAUAAGAAUGUCCUGGUAAUUUUUUUUAAAUCUAAAAGUAGACAAAAAGGGAAGGGAAAAAUUCAUAUGCAGAUGAAAAAUAUUCUAUUACUGUGGAUCCUUGAUUUUUUGUAUAGAUCUUAACAAUGAUUUAUGAGGUUCUCAAUGACAAUUUAAUAAAACUGCAAAAUUCAUUAAGAGCAUCACAGAAGGCCAGGCACAGUGGCUCACAUCAGAGAAAUAAGAUUAUGAAUUUACUGAGGCAUACAAAUUGGAAUCUACAUUUACCAUCUUGUACAAAUAGGAAAGUUUCUAAUAACUUAUUAACAAAAUCAUUCUGAAACCUUUACACAAAUCAGCCUGCUUUAAAUAAAAAGGUUAGAAACAUUAUGAUAACUAUGUACAAAGUAUAUAUCUGUAUACUCUAACAUUCUAAAUAAAGGUAUCUUUGAAAAUUUACUAUUAUACAGUAUUAGUACCAUACUCUAUAAUGAGCAAAGAAAGAAUAUGAGAACUCUUGGGCUCAGUACAGUGUAAAUAUGUUCAAAAUGCUAUACACAUUUUGCCUGGAAAGAUUUAAAAAAUCCCACAUAAUCACAUAAACCACUGGACUGACUUUUAAAAACUUUAAAAAAGAUAUUUAAAGAUAUGGCUCAUUAAGCAAACAUUUAGUGAUCAUAUCUCACUGCAGCCUCGAACUCCUGGGCUCAAGUGAUCCUCCUGCCUCAAUUGGCAAAUGGGCAAAAGAUAUGAACAGAUAUUUCACUGAAAAGGAUAAACAGAAUGGUUGAAAUAAGAAAUAGUGACAACACCAAAUGCUGGCGAGCAUGCAGAGAAACUGGAUCACUCAUACAUUCCUGGUGGGAAUGUAAGAUGGUAUAGCCAGUCUGGAAAACAGUUUGGCUGUUUCUUAUAAAGAUAAGAUUCAUUUAAAUGGGAGUCUCUAUAUCAUUUGUUUCCUAAACAUCACGGGUAUCUAUCUAAACACAGCCAUUUUAUAACAGAUCAAAUUUAUAGUAAAGUGGGGAAAGACAGUAGAAAUAGAAUAACAGAGAAUUUCAGAAAUAUCUGAUUUUGCAAGCACCUGUUUCUGUCCUUCCCACUCCAAGAUCAUUCCUGCAUUCCUCUAGGAACAAGGGUCCCAUGGGAAUAUGAUACAGCCAAUGACUUAGGUGCCAAUAGAUGCUGGUGCCAAAAUAUUUAUGGCUAUGAGGCUUCAAAACUUAAAAAAAAAAAAAAGAUUCCUUUUACUUGGAAAGGGGAUUUAAAAAGAAAAAACCACCAACACGAUUUUGAAUCAUCUAUUUAACUUUUUUAGAUUACCCAUUUUGACUGGUUCGAACCAGAAGACCUGGCUUUGGGUUUACAAUAAGACGAUUCUGGGACCAAGUAGGUUGUAAAGGCCCAAGGUAUGUUUGGGGCUUUCUCUCUCUCUCUCUCUCUCUCUCUUUUUUUUUUUUGAGACAGAGUCUCGCUCUCUCACCCAGGCUGGAAUGCAGUGGCCCAAUCUCGGCUCACUGCAACCUCCACGUCCCGGGUUCAAGCAAUUCUCCUGUCUCAGCCUCCCAAGUCGCUGGGACCACAGGCACAUGCCAUCAGGACUGGCUAAUUUUUGUAUUUUUAGUAGAGAUGGGGUUUCACCAUAUUGAUCAGGCUGGUCUUGAACUCCUGACCUCAGGUGAUCCACCCGCCUUGGCCUCCCAAAGUGCUGGGAUUACAGGCGUGAGCCACUACACCUGGCCUUUUUCUCUCUUUUUUUAAAUUGAGAUGGGUGGGGUCUCACUAUGUUGCCUAGGCUGGUCUCGAACUCCUGAGCUCAAGCGAUCCUCCCGCCUUGGCCUCACAAAUUGCUGGGAUUACAGGUGUGAACCACCACGCUUAUCCUGGGGCUUUUAAUUCUUACUGAAAAUCAUAGUCUAAAUUUCCCAAAGGGAUUCAGAAUCCUUUGGGGUACAUUCAAGUCUUCUAGGCCAUCUCUGGGAUGACUCUAGAAUAACUUAAAGUCAAAGAACUCCAGGGUAUAUCUACAUCUCUCCUCAAAUAAUUACAAAAUUCUUGCAAGAUUCCUGGGCUGGACUGUUUUAAAUUAAAGACUGGUCCCUUACAGGAGGGGCUAUUUAUGAAGUUCCUUCCCUAUAGCACCAGAGUGUUUCGCACUCUUAAAAUUCAAUCUGUUAGUCAUCUGCAGUCAAAUAUAUAAAACCUGUGAAGAGAAAGGCUUCAAUUAAAGCUUAAAAAGUUAAUAUAUCUAUGUGUAUUUACAGACAUGUGUCUCUACACAAAUAGUUUUUCAAAUAUAUAAACAUAUUAAGAAUUUUAUUUUAUUUUAUUAAGACAGGGCCUUGCCCUGUUGCCCAGGCUGGAGUGCAGUGGCACAAUCAUAGCUCAUAGCACCCUCAAACUCCUGUGUUCAAGCGAUUCUCCUGCUUCGGUUUCCUGAGUAGCUGGGACUACAGGGGCAUACCACCACACCUGGCUAAUUUAAAAAAAAUUUUUUUGUAGAGACAAGGUCUCACUUUGCUGCCCAAGCUGUAACUGAACUCCUGGCUUCAAGUGAUCCUCUGGCCUCAGCCUCCCAAAGUGCUGGGAUUACAGGCAUGAGCCACUGUACUUGGCCAAAAAUUUUAAAUAAACAACAUGAGGAUUCUAGCUCUCACUACAGAGUAGUUCUUCUUUUGUUUUUUUGUUUUUGUUUUUGUUUUUGUUUUUUUGAAAUGGAGUUUAACUCUUGUUGCCCAGGCUGGAGUGCAAUGGCGCGAUCUCGGCUCAACCGCAACCUCUGCCUCAGGGGUUCAAGCGGUUCUCCUGCCUCAGCCUCCUGACUAGCUGGGAUUACAGGCAUGUGCCACAACGCACAGCUAAUUUUUUUGUAGUUUUAAUAGAGAUGGGGUUUCUCCAUGUUGGUCAGGCUGGUCUCAAGCUACUAACCUCAGGUAAUCCGUCCUCCUUGGCCUCCCAAAGUGCUGGGAAGAGUAUAGUUCUUCUUAAUCCAACAAAAAAGUAUUUUACUCACAACAAAUAUAAAUUGCCCCCAUCAACAAAUGUAUGUAAUAUCAAGGAUAACGUGUACAAACAAAGUUGCACUAACAAAGUAAAAAUUUAUCCCACAUACAUGAAAGCACAGUGCUAAGUUCUGGGGAAGCAGACAGUUUCUGCUUUCAGGGAGCUUCCAGUCUGGUAGAGAUUUACACAGAAGGCAGAUUAAAGAGAAUGAUGAUCUCCUUUGUUCAGAGAUAAAAAGGAAGCAAAAAAGCAGGUCAAAUCAAAGAUGAUCUGCAGAAUACAUUAACCCUACACUGAAAUCAUGGACCUACUCCAGUAAUUAAGGCUGCAGAGGUGGGGCUGGGUGGAUGAAAACAUCAGAAGACAAUUACAGCAUGAGAUAUUGAUUGAUUGAUUGAUUGAUUGAUUGAGACAGGGUCUCACUUUGCCACCCAGGCUAGAGUACAGUGACACCAACUUGGCUCACUGCAGCCUCCACCUCCUGGAGCUCAAGUGAUCUUCCCACCUCAGCCCCCUAAUUAGCUGGGACUAUAUGUGUGUGUCACCACACCCAGCUAAUUUGUGUAUUUUUUGUAGAGAUAGGGAUUCGCCAGGUUGCCCAGGCUGGUCUCAAACUCCUGAGCUGAAGUGAUCCGCCUGCCUUGGCCUCCCAAAGUGCUAGGAUUACAGGUGUGAGCCACUGUGCCCAGCUGAGAUUUAUUUUUUCUUUAUUAAUCAGCAAAAUAGAUACCCUAUUUAUUUCAAGAUACGAUUAACUAAUUUUUUUGCUAACAACCAUUUCCUAAGGUAAAAUGAGGCAGAAAGAAAAGGAGUAUGACACUAUAUUCACUGAGUCUUCGAUUUUCUUCUAACAGCCUGUAUCAGUGGCUCUCAACUGGGGGCAAUUUUGCCUCUCAGAAUGGCAAUGUUUGAAGACAUUUUUGGCCAUAACAACUAGGGGGAUGGUACUUGUAGCUAGAGGGCAGAGGUCAGGGAUAUUGCUAAACAUCCUAUAAAGUACAGCAUAGCAUCCCAAAAUAAAGAUUUAUCCAGUCCAAAAUGUCAAUGCUGAGAUUAGGAAACCAUGCCAUGGUUGGAUAAAAAAGAUGAAAAAAUCAGUAUGUCUAUAGUAUAAAAGCAAUUAGUAGCACUUUAAGAUAGAUUGAACAGGAACAUUCUGACAAAAAGAAUUAUUUCCUAUGAAAU
This 6069-nucleotide long non-coding RNA is filed under the name Homo sapiens (human). RNAcentral describes it as "HSALNT0061441". The record is from RNAcentral. Lineage: Eukaryota; Metazoa; Chordata; Mammalia; Primates; Hominidae.